UACAGAGGGUGCGAGCGUUGUUCGGAAUUAUUGGGCGUAAAGGGCGCGUAGGCGGUGCGGUAAGUCACCUGUGAAAUCUCCUGGCUCAACUGGGAGCUUGCAGGCGAAACUGCCGUGCUGGAGUGUGGGAGAGGUGCGUGGAAUUCCUGGUGUAGCGGUGAAAUGCGUAGAUAUCAGGAGGAACACCGGUGGCGAAGGCGGGUCUCUGGGCCGAUACUGACGCUGAGGAGCGAAAGCGUGGGGAGCGAACAGG
This 253-nucleotide ribosomal RNA is filed under the name uncultured bacterium. RNAcentral describes it as "partial 16S ribosomal RNA". It matches the Rfam family "Bacterial small subunit ribosomal RNA", at positions 524 to 776 of the family's 1533-position model. The record is from RNAcentral.